Long non-coding RNA from Triticum aestivum (bread wheat), 830 nucleotides. RefSeq lists it as uncharacterized. The record is from RefSeq and is a predicted model, not a curated record. NCBI's taxonomy places the organism in Eukaryota, Viridiplantae, Streptophyta, Magnoliopsida, Poales, Poaceae. The transcript is spliced from 4 exons.
GAGUUCACUCCGAGAAAGAAUUGCUUUGCAUGUACAUUUGCUGAAAGACUGAUGUGCUGAACUUUCGAUGAUUUCGAUUGGUAUUCAACUUGAGGAAUUUCAUACUUUUGGAGUGGAGCUAUCAAAUAUAUGUGUGCUCGAUGUUGGUGUUUUAAUCUGGAUCUCUCGCUGAAGGUGCUCGAUGUUGGUGUUUGAAUACUGCUACCGUACUUCAAGCAAAGUUCUCCUAGAGGUGUGAUGUUGGUGGUGAUUUUCUUAUCCGGGGAUAUGGAUGUGGCGGGUCUGUGGGCACCAUGCUGACGCGGAGAAGGAGGUGCAGGUAGCGGGGCGCUUGAGGUGAGGUGGCUGCAGGGUCGCUCGAGAAGAACAGGCUCAUCAGCACCACCUGGAUGCCUUCGUCAUCAGCAAUGUGGACAAGGUAAAGUGGGAUGGCGGGAUUGUAUAGUGCUCAUAAGCCAGUCCGGGCAUUGUCCUUCCUCGAAUGAAUCUGAGACUACUCCUCAUAUGUUAAUCAGUUGCUCCUCCCUAGCUUUGGUUUGGUCUGAACUUCAAAGUUUUCAUCCACUCAAUGUUGAUUCAGUCAAAGAUCUCUUGGAAAAAUUAUUUCGACAAGAUUCACUCUAUAAUGUUGUUAUCAUUGUCCUCUGGAAUAUAUGGAAGCGCAAAAACUCCAAGGUCUCCCGGGAUGUUUUUGAGGAAUUGCACAUUACUGCUAGCAAGAUUGCUGAUGAUUGAUACCAUGGUCCAACAGGUAUUCACAUGAAAUUAAUAAAUGGCACCUUACGGAUUGGAGUACUCUACUGUAUCACCUAUCUGGGAGAUUUUAAUUU